RNAcentral lists this ribosomal RNA (497 nucleotides) under uncultured bacterium. RNAcentral describes it as "partial 16S ribosomal RNA". It matches the Rfam family "Bacterial small subunit ribosomal RNA", at positions 28 to 507 of the family's 1533-position model. The record is from RNAcentral.
GAUGAACGCUGGCGGCGUGCCUAAUACAUGCGAGUCGAGCGAACAGACGAGGAGCUUGCUCCUCUGACGUUAGCGGCGGACGGGUGAGUAACACGUGGAUAACCUACCUAUAAGACUGGGAUAACUUCGGGAAACCGGAGCUAAUACCGGAUAAUAUAUUGAACCGCAUGGUUCAAUAGUGAAAGACGGUUUUGCUGUCACUUAUAGAUGGAUCCGCGCCGUAUUAGCUAGUUGGUAAGGUAACGGCUUACCAAGGCAACGAUGCGUAGCCGACCUGAGAGGGUGAUCGGCCACACUGGAACUGAGACACGGUCCAGACUCCUACGGGAGGCAGCAGUAGGGAAUCUUCCGCAAUGGGCGAAAGCCUGACGGAGCAACGCCGCGUGAGUGAUGAAGGUCUUCGGAUCGUAAAACUCUGUUAUUAGGGAAGAACAAAUGUGUAAGUAACUAUGCACGUCUUGACGGUACCUAAUCAGAAAGCCACGGCUAACUACGUG